This 435-nucleotide ribosomal RNA is filed under the name uncultured bacterium. RNAcentral's name for it is "bacterial SSU rRNA". It matches the Rfam family "Bacterial small subunit ribosomal RNA", at positions 957 to 1391 of the family's 1533-position model. The record is from RNAcentral.
GAACGCGAAGAACCUUACCAAGGCUUGACAUGCACGGCGGCACUGCAGAGAUGUGGUGGCAUUUAGUUGGUCGUGUGCAGGUGGUGCAUGGUUGUCGUCAGCUCGUGUCGUGAGAUGUUGGGUUAAGUCCCGCAACGAGCGCAACCCUUGCCCUAUGUUGCCAGCACGUUAUGGUGGGGACUCGUGGGGGACUGCCGGGGUUAACUCGGAGGAAGGUGGGGAUGACGUCAAAUCAUCAUGCCCCUUAUGUCUUGGGCUUCACGCAUGCUACAAUGGCUGGUACCGAGGGUUGCGAUACUGUGAGGUGGAGCGAAUCCCUUAAAGCCGGUCUCAGUUCGGAUUGGGGUCUGCAACUCGACCCCAUGAAGGUGGAGUCGCUAGUAAUCGCAGAUCAGCAACGCUGCGGUGAAUACGUUCUCGGGUCUUGUACACACC